AUCCCAUGAUGAGGACAAUUACGAAGUAACUCCUUAAAUUGCUCCCAAGCCUCAUACAAAGACUCGUCAUCCAGUUAUUACUAGGCUAUUUUAUUAAAAUGUUU
Molecule: small nucleolar RNA, 104 nt
Filed under: Gossypium hirsutum (cotton)
Lineage: Eukaryota; Viridiplantae; Streptophyta; Magnoliopsida; Malvales; Malvaceae
Description: Plant small nucleolar RNA R71
Rfam family: Plant small nucleolar RNA R71
About the family: R71 is a member of the C/D box family of snoRNAs containing the C (UGAUGA) and D (CUGA) box motifs. Multiple nearly identical copies of this snoRNA have been identified in Arabidopsis, and it is thought to function as a 2'-O-ribose methylation guide for 18S ribosomal RNA.
Source: Rfam by way of RNAcentral